UCGUUCUCUGUUGCCAUCAGGUUAUGCUGGGCACUCUGAGGAGACUGCCGGUGAUAAACCGGGGGAAGGUGGGGAUGACGUCAAGUCCUCAUGGCCCUUACGCGCUGGGCUACACACGUGCUACAAUGGCGGUGACAAUGGGAUGCUAAGGGGCGACCCUUCGCAAAUCUCAAAAAGCCGUCUCAGUUCGGAUUGGGCUCUGCAACUCGAGCCCAUGAAGUUGGAAUCGCUAGUAAUCGUGGGUCAGCACGCCACGGUGAAUACGUUCCCGGGCCUU
Molecule: ribosomal RNA, 277 nt
Filed under: uncultured bacterium
Lineage: Bacteria
Description: partial 16S ribosomal RNA
Rfam family: Bacterial small subunit ribosomal RNA
Source: RNAcentral